This 87-nucleotide transfer RNA is filed under the name Bacillota bacterium. RNAcentral describes it as "tRNA-Leu". It matches the Rfam family "tRNA". Rfam says of the family: Transfer RNA (tRNA) molecules are approximately 80 nucleotides in length. Lineage: Bacteria; Bacillati; Bacillota. The record is from RNAcentral.
GCCGAAGUGGCGGAAUCGGCAGACGCACCUGACUCAAAAUCAGGCGGGGUCACACCCAUGGGGGUUCGAGUCCCCCCUUCGGCACCA